GGUGCAGUUUAGCAUCUCUUCUAAUGCUUGUGGUGACCACAUAGGAAAAUAGAUUGGUUGGAUCCUGGUCUUUGUGAAGGAACAGAGUGUGGGGGAGCUGGAAGGGAAGGUGAAAACAUUACUGGACUGAAUGCAUAAAUCUGCUACAAAUUUUGAAUGCGCACAAUAUAACAGAAAUUUUCUUUUUUUUUUUUUUUUCCUUCUGUUGUCUGGUUAUACCAGAAUAGACUGGGGAAAAAAAAAAAAAGUCCACUGGAGCCACCUUGCAUUUCCCUGUCAGUUGCCUUAAAAAAAAAAAAAAAAAAAAAAAAAUUGCUCCAUAGAAAGCUGUUUUGCAAACAAAAGGGGAUCAGGUUAGAAGGUCAUAAAAGAACUGAGGAAAGUGACUCAGAAAAUGCCCCUUGCUGAAGAGCAGUAUUGUUACUUGCCUCUCCCACAAUAAAAUUCUGGUGUCUGAGGAAAGCUGGAAGAGCUACAAGUAGUGUUUUAAUCUCUCUUCAAGCAGUGGGUGCCAGCAAGGAUAGAAGGCAGCCAGCAGUAUGUUUUUUGUUUUUAGAUUUUCUUUUCUGACACCAGCUGGCACUGAAGCACUUGAUGUGUUUAACAGGCAGGAAGGAUAGCUAUGAAAUGGUUUAAAAUAAGUUUGAGGAGUACUGAAAUCUGUGUAAAAACUAAACAUAUGAAAGAUGUUUCUAUAUUUGAUAGGAACUGUAGAUGAAAAGCCAAGCAUUUGUGACUGUUUAGAGGUUGAACAUCCUCAACUUUGAGAGACUGAAUCCCUGGUGAUAGGCCAGAUUUAACUGCAAUCUGGAAAAAAAAAUCUCUAGAAAAUGUGCUGUUGAGAUACCCAGGAUUAACCCUUGGCAAAGCAAGUGCAGUUAUAUUCCUCCUUGGUUUGGGGACAUGGUUAUGAAUUACAGGUGUGCUUUGCUUGGGUUUUGUUAAUCCUUUUUCACUGCCCUUUUACAAAUAUGAAGUUUAUUCAUUACAUUUGUGGGUAAGACUUACCUAUGCUUUGUUUUGAUGUCUUCAGAUGCUGUGGAGAGUCUGUGCAAAUUUACACACAGAGAAGGGCCGUUUUGUUUAAUAGCUCUUUGGGACUUGAAUGCUUUGUUGUUACUCUGCACUGUCUAGCCUUUCCAUUUUGGAAAGUGAGUGUGAGAGGGUAGUUCUAUAAAUAUAAAUAAUGUCUCAAGUGGAUAGUCCAUCUUGUAUGUAUUCUAGUCUGGCUUUAGAUUUCAUUUGGUGUUGAGGUUAUUUGUGUGUCUAACACAGUUACUGCAAAUUUUGACCCUUGUACGUAUGCUAGAUCUCUCAGCUCCUGAUAGGAGGGAAAAUUUGAUUUUUCCUCAGAGUGAUUUUCAUAUGUACGUUUAACUGCAAGUGUGCAGGGAACUUAUAAGACUGAGCUUGGAGAUAUUUUGUUUGGCAGUUGCAUAUAGCGUGCAUAUGUAUAAACUGAGGUUUACAUUUGUGCCAGAAUAAGACAUGCCUAGAGUUAAUAUCAGAGGUAAUACCAGAUUUCCAGCCAAACCAACAAAUUCACAUAAUAUUUUUCCGAAAAUCCCAUCAUCAAGUGUAGAGCUGUCUCUCUACUUUUUGGACAAAAACCUGUGGAUUUUUUAUAAAUACAAACACAUUAUUUUUUUACACAGUCUGUCACCAUAAUAAAGAAUCACAUGUAAAACUUGUCAGAUGGACAUGAAAACGUGUAGAGAUUUCAUGGUGGGCUUGCCUGAGAAAGCACUCCAACAGAUUUUGAGCAACAUUGGCAGCUUAACUGAAAACAUUAAUAUUUAAACGAUUUUUUUGUUUUGCAGUAGCAGGACAUGCAACAUGUUAAUUUGUAUAGGCAGUGUGUAUGAAAGAACAUCAGCAGGUAUCCUUGACUAAUAUAGGUUUUGAAGGCUUCUGUUUUUCUCAUAUUAAGCAUGGAGUGUUUUUCUGAUCUUACUGCAGAAUGGAUUCUGAUGUGUGAGAAAAGGGAAGACCUGAUGUUUCUUUCUGUUUUAACUUUAACUUGUACUGUGUGUUUAUUUACAAUAUUUUAUUAAACUACAGUCAUCUUAGUCCC
This is a long non-coding RNA of Strigops habroptila (Kakapo), 2074 nucleotides long. RefSeq lists it as uncharacterized. The record is from RefSeq and is a predicted model, not a curated record. NCBI's taxonomy places the organism in Eukaryota, Metazoa, Chordata, Aves, Psittaciformes, Psittacidae. The transcript has 2 exons.